This 282-nucleotide unclassified non-coding RNA is filed under the name plant metagenome. RNAcentral describes it as "partial contains small subunit ribosomal RNA, internal transcribed spacer 1, and 5.8S ribosomal RNA". The record is from RNAcentral.
UUUCCGUAGGUGAACCUGCGGAAGGAUCAUUAUUGUAUAACCGAGGUGCGAGGGCUGUCGCUGACCCGAAAGGUCGUGCACGCCCGAGUGCCCUCACACACAUCCAUCUCACCCCUAUGUGCACCACCGCGCGGGUCCCCCUUUGGCUUGUUCGGAGGGGGGCUUACGUUUUCACACAAACUUUGUAUGCAGUGUAGAAUGUAUUUUUUGUUUUUGCGAUCACGCAAUCAAUACAACUUUCAACAACGGAGCUCUUGGCUCUCGCAUCGAUGAAGAACGAGC